This 413-nucleotide ribosomal RNA is filed under the name uncultured Synechococcus sp. RNAcentral describes it as "bacterial SSU rRNA". It matches the Rfam family "Bacterial small subunit ribosomal RNA", at positions 505 to 916 of the family's 1533-position model. The record is from RNAcentral. Lineage: Bacteria; Bacillati; Cyanobacteriota; Cyanophyceae; Synechococcales; Synechococcaceae.
GUGCCAGCCGCCGCGGUAAUACGGGAGUGGCAAGCGUUAUCCGGAAUUAUUGGGCGUAAAGCGUCCGCAGGCGGUCCAGAAAGUCUGCUGUUAAAAAGUGGAGCUUAACUCCAUCAUGGCAGUGGAAACUUCUGGACUAGAGUGUGGUAGGGGCAGAGGGAAUUCCCGGUGUAGCGGUGAAAUGCGUAGAUAUCGGGAAGAACACCAGUGGCGAAGGCGCUCUGCUGGGCCAUAACUGACGCUCAUGGACGAAAGCCAGGGGAGCGAAAGGGAUUAGAUACCCCUGUAGUCCUGGCCGUAAACGAUGAACACUAGGUGUCGGGGGAAUCGACCCCUCCGGUGUCGUAGCCAACGCGUUAAGUGUUCCGCCUGGGGAGUACGCACGCAAGUGUGAAACUCAAAGGAAUUGGCGG